GCUGAUGUCACAGAGCGUGUUCUUGCUGCUUGCUACAAGGCCCUCAAUGACCACCAUGUCCUCCUCGAGGGUACAUUGUUGAAGCCCAACAUGGUCACUCCCGGAUCUGAUGCCCCUAAAGUUGCACCAGAGGUCAUUGCGGAGUACACCGUACGUGCCUUGCAGCGAACAAUGCCAGCUGCUGUUCCUGCUGUGGUUUUCCUGUCUGGUGGUCAGAGUGAGGAAGAGGCUACCCGCAACCUCAACGCCAUGAACAAACUUCAAACC
RNAcentral lists this unclassified non-coding RNA (267 nucleotides) under Hevea brasiliensis (rubber tree). Lineage: Eukaryota; Viridiplantae; Streptophyta; Magnoliopsida; Malpighiales; Euphorbiaceae. The record is from RNAcentral.